UGACUGUACCCGAAUAAGAAGGUCCGGCUAACUUCGUGCCAGCAGCCGCGGUAAUACGAAGGGACCUAGCGUAGUUCGGAAUUACUGGGCUUAAAGAGUUCGUAGGUGGUUGAAAAAGUUGGUGGUGAAAUCCCAGAGCUUAACUCUGGAACUGCCAUCAAAACUUUUCAGCUAGAGUAUGAUAGAGGAAAGCAGAAUUUCUAGUGUAGAGGUGAAAUUCGUAGAUAUUAGAAAGAAUACCAAUUGCGAAGGCAGCUUUCUGGAUCAUUACUGACACUGAGGAACGAAAGCAUGGGUAGCGAAGAGGAUUAGAUACCCUCGUAGUCCAUGCCGUAAACGAUGUGUGUUAGACGUUGGAAAUUUAUUUUCAGUGUCGCAGCGAAAGCAAUAAACACACCGCCUGGGGAGUACGACCGCAAGGUUAAAACUCAAAUGAAUUGACGGGGACCCGCACAAGUAGUGGAGCAUGUGGUUUAAUUCGAAGAUACGCGCAGAACCUUACCAACACUUGACAUGUUCGUCGCGACUCUGAGAGAUUAGAGUUUUCGGUUCGGCCGGACGAAACACAGGUGCUGCAUGGCUGUCGUCAGCUCGUGUCGUGAGAUGUUGGGUUAAGUCCCGCAACGAGCGCAACCCUCACUUUUAGUUGCCAUCAUUUAGUUGGGCACUCUGAAAGAACUGCCAGUGAUAAGCUGGAGGAAGGUGGGGAUGACGUCAAGUCCUCAUGGCCCUUACGUGUUGGGCUACACACGUGCUACAAUGGUAUUUACAACAGGAAGCAAGACGGCGACGUUAAGCAAAUCCUAAAAAGAUACCUCAGUUCGGAUUGCACUCUGCAACUCGAGUGCAUGAAGCUGGAAUUACUAGUAAUCGUGGAUCAGCGUGCCACGGUGAAUACGUUCCCGGGUCUUGUACACACCGCCCGUCACACCAUGGGAGUUGGUUCUACCUUAAGGCAAGGUUUUAAACCCUUGACUACGGUAUAGUCAGCGACUGGGGUGAAGUCGUAACAAGGUAGCCGUAGGGGAACCUGCGGCUG
This 1039-nucleotide ribosomal RNA is filed under the name marine metagenome. RNAcentral describes it as "bacterial SSU rRNA". It matches the Rfam family "Bacterial small subunit ribosomal RNA", at positions 470 to 1520 of the family's 1533-position model. The record is from RNAcentral.